UACGUAGGGGGCAAGCGUUGUCCGGAAUCAUUGGGCGUAAAGCGCGCGUAGGUGGCUUCGUAAGUCCGCUGUGAAAGUCAAAGGCUCAACCUUUGAAAGCCGGUGGACACUGCGGGGCUAGAGUACGGAAGAGGCGAGUGGAAUUCCUGGUGUAGCGGUGGAAUGCGCAGAUAUCAGGAGGAACACCAAUAGCGAAGGCAGCUCGCUGGGACGUUACUGACACUGAGGCGCGAAAGCGUGGGGAGCGAACAGG
Molecule: ribosomal RNA, 253 nt
Filed under: uncultured bacterium
Lineage: Bacteria
Description: partial 16S ribosomal RNA
Rfam family: Bacterial small subunit ribosomal RNA
Source: RNAcentral